This is a long non-coding RNA of Oncorhynchus tshawytscha (Chinook salmon), 1326 nucleotides long. The record is from Ensembl. NCBI's taxonomy places the organism in Eukaryota, Metazoa, Chordata, Actinopteri, Salmoniformes, Salmonidae.
GAUGUGACCAACCGUCCACUCACUGAGUUCAUGGCUCCCUGUAUUGACUCCCUCCCACCGCUGGCUUUCACCAAUCGGAGGCCUAUACCAACCAUGUUACGUCCCCCCUCUCAAUUGGCCAUACGCGCUCAGGAUGCACAGCGGUUCAUUGUAUUUUCAUACUUUGUCCCUGCUGAGUGCCCAGUUGCCACAGAGGCCACAGCAGAUGUAUCUACUGGUAAAAGAGAGGACUUAUUGACAGAUACACAUCUUUCCUCAAUGCUGCAUCGAUACCUGCCACACUUCUUUAACGAUGACUCCAUUCCACCACAGCAGACAGUAGAGGGAACCACUGAGCUCUCAGUUGCUCCAGUGGCAAUAUCUAAUAUAAAGGAAGAGGACAGAUUCUAUCCUUUCUCCCUCCCACCACUGGCUCAGCGGUUCGUUGGCAAUUCAUUAAUUGUCCCAGGAACCUCCCAGCCUGCUGUUUCAGCCACAGAGUGCCGAGUUGCCAAAGAGGCCACUGCAGACACAGCCACUGUCAAGAGAGAGAACCGAUGGGCAGCCAGAAGUCUUCCUUCAGUGCUGCCUCCAUGCCUGCCACCAGUCUUUGACGAUGACUUCAAGCCUACAGAGCAGACAGUAGAGGAUGCCUAUGAGGUCUCAGGUGCUACAGAGAACACUUCAGGCACAGCUACUGUUGAUGGAGUGGACAGAUCAACAGCUAAAUGCCCUGUCCCAAUGCUGCCUCCAAGUCUGCCACCUGUCUUUGACAAUGACUACAAACUGCCAGAGGAGGCAGUAGAGGGAACCAACAAGUGUCCAGUCGCCAGUGAAUCUGUCGCUUCCGUGUCCGCUGUCCUCCAAGAGGAGUUUUCAGCUGAUAAGAGUCUUCCUGCACCCGCAGCACUGCCUCUAUGGCUGCCCUGCACCCACAGCAUUGACCACAAACAGCUAUGGGAGAAAGUUGAGGACAACACAGAGUUCUCAGUAGACAAAGAAGCAACUGUUGCCAUUUACACUUGGGAAGAUAAAAGUCCUUCAGUUCUGCCAUGCAUCCACAACAACAACGACCACCAACUGCCAGAGGAGACAGUUGAGGACAACACAGAGUGCUCAGUUGACACCGAGGCAAGUGCAGUUGCAUCCACUGUUAAGAGAGAGGAAUUGACUUGUGAUAAAAGCCCUGUCCGAGCAAUUCCUCCAAUCCUGGGAUGCAUCCAUGACAAGGACCACAAGGAGGAGGUGAGACAGAGGGAGGGAUUGAAGCGUGAGGCGGACUGUGCCCAUUCCAAGAGCUCCAAUGGGAUGCCGUCAUCAGAGAGAGCAGAGACCAUCCUUGGAAGA